UACGUGGGUGGCAAGCGUUGUCCGGAAUUAUUGGGCGUAAAGCGCGCGCAGGCGGCCUUUUAAGUCUGAUGUGAAAGCCCCCGGCUCAACCGGGGAGGGUCAUUGGAAACUGGGAGGCUUGAGUACAGAAGAGGAGAGUGGAAUUCCACGUGUAGCGGUGAAAUGCGUAGAUAUGUGGAGGAACACCAGUGGCGAAGGCGACUCUCUGGUCUGUAACUGACGCUGAGGUGCGAAAGUGUGGGGAUCAAACAGG
This 253-nucleotide unclassified non-coding RNA is filed under the name uncultured Bacillaceae bacterium. RNAcentral's name for it is "contains 16S-23S intergenic spacer region". It matches the Rfam family "Bacterial small subunit ribosomal RNA", at positions 524 to 776 of the family's 1533-position model. Lineage: Bacteria; Bacillati; Bacillota; Bacilli; Caryophanales; Bacillaceae. The record is from RNAcentral.